Molecule: ribosomal RNA, 443 nt
Filed under: uncultured bacterium
Lineage: Bacteria
Description: partial 16S ribosomal RNA
Rfam family: Bacterial small subunit ribosomal RNA
Source: RNAcentral
CCUACGGGAGGCAGCAGUGGGGAAUAUUGGGCAAUGGAGGAAACUCUGACCCAGCAACGCCGCGUGAAUGAUGAAGGUCUUCGGAUUGUAAAGUUCUUUUCUAAGGGAAGAAGAAAGUGACGGUACCUUAGGAAUAAGCCUCGGCUAACUACGUGCCAGCAGCCGCGGUAAUACGUAGGAGGCGAGCGUUAUCCGGAAUGACUGGGCGUAAAGGGGGCGUAGGUGGUUUGGCAAGUUAGUAGCGUAACUCCAAGGCUCAACCUUGGAACUACUACUAAAACUGUUGGACUUGAGUGCAGGAGGGGAAACCGGAAUUCCUAGUGUAGCGGUGGAAUGCGUAGAUAUUAGGAGGAACACCAGUGGCGAAGGCGGGUUGCUAGACUGUAACUGACACUGAGGCUCGAAAGCGUGGGGAGCAAACAGGAUUAGAUACCCGGGUAGUC